This is a small nucleolar RNA of Nycticebus coucang (slow loris), 179 nucleotides long. RefSeq annotates it as small nucleolar RNA SNORA20. The record is from RefSeq and is a predicted model, not a curated record. The transcript has a single exon. Lineage: Eukaryota; Metazoa; Chordata; Mammalia; Primates; Lorisidae.
UUUCUAAUUUGCUGCCUUUAUUUUCUUGCCAAAUUGUUAUGGGCAAUUAGCUUCCAACACUGUGGUGAACAAAACUGGGAAAGCAUGAGCAGUUAUACACAUGGGAUAAAAUAACAGUGGGCCACUGUAAACUGAGAUGAAAUAACCAUUUUCAUCUUUUGUGCAUGGACUAGAUAAUU